GCCUGAGUGGCUCAGUCGGUUAAGCGUCUGACUUCGGCUCAGGUCAUGAUCUCAUGGUUGGUGGGUUCAAGCCCCACGUCAGGCU
This 85-nucleotide transfer RNA is filed under the name Felis catus (domestic cat). It matches the Rfam family "tRNA". Rfam says of the family: Transfer RNA (tRNA) molecules are approximately 80 nucleotides in length. Their secondary structure includes four short double-helical elements and three loops (D, anti-codon, and T loops). The record is from Rfam by way of RNAcentral. Lineage: Eukaryota; Metazoa; Chordata; Mammalia; Carnivora; Felidae.